UAUGGUGCGAGUGUAAGAAAUAAGAGUCCCCAUCCUUUAGCUGAUGAUGAAGACGAUGACGACUUAUUUGAAGACCGAUUUAGUAUUGCAUAUAAUCUUGACCGAGAAUUUGGUCCAAGGCUUAAGGAGCACAUGCAAUAUUGCAUGAACCAUCUAGAAGAAAUUAGUAAGCUCUCAAAAUUAAAAGCUCAAGUAACUGAGGUGAAGGGGAUUAUGAUGGAUAACAUUGAAAAGGUUUUGGAUCGUGGGGAGAAUAUUGAACUUCUAGUGGACAAAACAGAAAACUUGCAAUUCUAGGUUGGUGUUAUCUUCUCUUU
This is a long non-coding RNA of Hibiscus syriacus, 317 nucleotides long. RefSeq lists it as uncharacterized. The record is from RefSeq and is a predicted model, not a curated record. The transcript has 3 exons. NCBI's taxonomy places the organism in Eukaryota, Viridiplantae, Streptophyta, Magnoliopsida, Malvales, Malvaceae.